Molecule: long non-coding RNA, 1716 nt
Organism: Perca fluviatilis (European perch)
Lineage: Eukaryota; Metazoa; Chordata; Actinopteri; Perciformes; Percidae
Exons: 5
Source: RefSeq, a predicted model, not a curated record
CUCAGUGCGGCUCAGGCUCUUCACGGGAGCGCAUCGUAACAGCUACAGAGACGCUUGUUGGAGUUCCAGCAGAGAUCAUCACUUUACUGGACCACAAGGAGGAAACAGCUUCUUCUAUUACUUAUUGGAAAUAAUCACACUGAUCGAUCUGCGUGAUUUACCAAAGCAGCUAUCACUUUACGCAAGGCUUCUUUGGACACAUAAAGAGGAUUAAAUGCUGCCAUUAGGCUACACUACUGACACACGUGGAGGAGUUAUUAUUAUUAUUAUUGGUAAAACUUUAUGAUGGCAACAGCUGAUGGAUUCAACACUCCAGCUGUGUGUAGUCCUGUAGGAUAUGAGGAAAUACUGUAUUUUACACCGGAUGAGUGGUGUCCAUUUCUCCUGCUGCCAAAGUCCUUCUGCUGGACAAGUCGUUUGUCGGACAGACGAGUCUUUUGGGAUACUAUACGCGUGUGACCAGUGUCAUAGUUGGCCAAUACCAUAAUAUGAUUUUGGAAAUCGAUAUUUGAUUCUGGCACAAGGAAAGGAAUAUCCUGGAAUAUUUUUUAAAAGUGAUGCUCAGCAGAUGUCCAGCAGUUUGGAUAAUGACAGAACGCAUCUCCUCAGCAGUGGGGAGGAUAAAGGAGACAUUUUCAGUGUGAAGAGGAGCGUGAAAUUUUCUGUGUGACCUCUCCGAGACACAGCAGACCACCAGGCUCCUCAGACGAUGAAGGAAUCCAAAUUCUUGGAAUGAGAUAUCAACCUUUAAUUGCUUCCCAGGGAUCUUCUGAUGAUCUCAGGUGAGCACCCAGAAGAGGCUGAGUAAUGGAAACAUGAUCUCAUGAGAUUCAACAGGAUCAUACUAAAUCCUGGUUUGGACUGUGGACCAGCAUCCCCUGCAGCAGAUGUUUGCUCCUGGCAUGGCUGCGAACAGCUUGAGCUCCAUCACUGACAAUCUCACUCUCAGGAUCCAGCGCCAGCAGCAUGGACUUGGAGAAGCUGUGACAUAAACUCAGCGGGACAGUGGAGUGUAUUCUGCUGCUCAGACAUUAUGGAACACAUCAGUCAACCCCGUCUGGAGAGGCGCUCGGUAGGAAAGUCAACUCCACGAAUGCACGUUCACCAUAGUUACCACAAUGGAUCUACACAUUGUUUGACUUUUUCUAAAUUGAACCUGGAUUAAUAUUUUCCUGUACAUACAUCUGCUUUUGAUAUUCACUGUUUAUUCACACUGUUGCUCAUACACUGCAGUUGUGACAUAUACUGUGUUAUUCUGGAUACAGUAUCAACAAGCGCUGGAACAGUAAAUGGAAAAUAAUCAAAUGUUAUUUUUCAUUUUUAGUUCUAUUUUUACAGACUGAAGGCGGCGCUUAUACCAGUGCAGUCACAUACAAUAAGUGUACUGUAUCUUGUGAAGAGCACAAAAAAAGUUUCCUAUUGUGUAAAAUGAACACAUAUAUGAUCAAGAUUCCAUUGAAGUUAGUUACUCAGUCAUUGGAAAUGUAACUUUAUCAUUUGACAUCUCCUAAUUGCAAUCACAAAGAAGCCAUUGUAAUCAAGUUGCUUGAAUGCAACUCUUUAUUGACACUACAUUUUAUUGUGACACAUUGGCAGCCUUUGUAAGUAUUGGUUAACAAUCCUGUCAAGGUGUUUAUUCUGAUGAUGAUUUAUAGCUCCAUAACAGUUGUUGUGCCGGUAAAACCCCACUAACCGAAAUAAAGAAAGUGUAUCCAA